CCUACGGGCGGCUGCAGUGGGGAAUAUUGGACAAUGGGGGCAACCCUGAUCCAGCCAUGCCGCGUGUGUGAAGAAGGCCCUCGGGUUGUAAAGCACUUUCAGUGAGGAAGAACGCCUGGUGGUUAAUACCCAUCAGGAAAGACAUCACUCACAGAAGAAGCACCGGCUAACUCCGUGCCAGCAGCCGCGGUAAUACGGAGGGUGCGAGCGUUAAUCGGAAUUACUGGGCGUAAAGCGCGCGUAGGUGGCUUGAUAAGCCGGUUGUGAAAGCCCCGGGCUCAACCUGGGAACGGCAUCCGGAACUGUCAAGCUAGAGGGCAGGAGAGGAAGGUAGAAUUCCCGGUGUAGCGGUGAAAUGCGUAGAGAUCGGGAGGAAUACCAGUGGCGAAGGCGGCCUUCUGGACUGACACUGACACUGAGGUGCGAAAGCGUGGGUAGCAAACAGGAUUAGAUACCCUUGUAGUC
RNAcentral lists this ribosomal RNA (465 nucleotides) under Vreelandella stevensii. Its description in RNAcentral is "partial 16S ribosomal RNA". It matches the Rfam family "Bacterial small subunit ribosomal RNA", at positions 338 to 795 of the family's 1533-position model. Lineage: Bacteria; Pseudomonadati; Pseudomonadota; Gammaproteobacteria; Oceanospirillales; Halomonadaceae. The record is from RNAcentral.